CCAUCUUUAUCGCAAGUUCUUAGUAGAGGUUUUAAACAAAAGUAGGCAUUUAAUUAAAUCAAAAUAAAUGAAAAUUAAAGUAACCGAUCCUUAAUACAGAGUUUUGACAACCGACUAUAGAGAGAUUUCUUAAUACACGUGUCACCAGGCUGUUAUUUAGGAACUUUUUUAUUUUCUCUUUUUUCUUUCUUUUCUCUUCUUUCUCUUCUUUCUCUCCUCUUCUCUCGUGUUCGUCGACUCAAAGAAAAACGACAGAGAUGCCCGCUUGAUCGCCGGCGUUCUGUUUCUCUCCGGCCGCCGAGUCUUUCACCUUUUUUUACUAAUUGAAACAUAGGCUCAGUCUCGUGGGUACAGUAGCUUUCGAUCUGGCUUUAACCGCCGCUGCAGCCUUCGCCGCCGAUGAUCAUCUUCGUGAAAACGUCCCCGUCAUGGUGGUCGAGACUGUUUUCCCUGGAGGAUCCGACCCGAAGGCUACUGUCUCAACCCGAUUGGCUUGGUCUUGUUUUCUAAGCAGGUAACAUGACACAAGACGAGGCAUGAAGUUGGUUGCUGUUUCUAAAAAAACACGAGGCAUGAAGUUGGUAGAAAGUUACUUGGGAGUGGAAGGAUCACGGACUUGUGUCUUGUGGUGAUUGUGUAAUGUGUUUUAAGAAACCUUAUCUUUGUUCUAUCUACUUCCUCUUAAGUGCUAUCAACGCUCUCGAGAGUUAAUUGUUAUUACCGUGUGUUGUGCAGAUCAUUACAAUCAUCCAAGCAGCAGCUGGUGCUGGCCGUACAAUGCUGAUAAGUGAUAGUGGAAACGUUUACUCGUGUGGGAAAGAUUCGUUCGGUGAAGCUGAAUACGGAGGGCAAGGGUCUAAUGUUCCUGGUCUUGUUGUCUAGUUCGUAUGUCAGGAUCACUCACUCUAUCUUCAAAGAACGUCAAGAAUGGCUCGGGAAAGGUGUGUGUGUGUGUUGGAGUGUCACGAGAUAUGUGUGUCUGUUGUAGUUGUUGUCUUGUGGCACAAACAGUUUAUAAAUCACAAGAGAAGUGUUGUUGUUGUUGUCUUGUGUCGCGGGUGAUUUAUAAAUCACAAGAGAAGUUGUAGUUGUUCUCUUGUGUCACAGACACUUUAUAAAUCACAAACACACUUGAUUCUCUUUAUAAAUCACAAUCAAUUCUUCUCCUUCUCUUCACAUUCUUCUCUCCAUUAUUUUGCUCACAUUCUUCUCUCAAAUAUGAUGGGUGUUCAAAUUACAAUUCUUAAUAGACAAAUGCAUCACCAACUCAAAACUGAUUUGGUUGAACAUUUAUGAAGUAAAUUUGUAUGUGAUGAAAACAACAACUGAGUUCGAGAUGUUUAUUUCAAAUUAUUUUCGUUUAUUGUACUAAUUUUUAUUUUUAUGUUUUCUUUUAAAUCUAUGUUUUAAAUGUUAUCUUUUAAUAUGUUUUAUUUAAUAAAUAAAUUUUAUCUUAAAUUUUUUUUUUUUAAGAAUCUCUAAUUAAGAAACUCCCAUUGGACCACUCAAAAUAAAAGUUUCUUAACUAGAGUUCUUAAUCCCACUAAAGUACAUUUAUAUAACUAAAUUAUCAUUAAGAAACCCAUUUAAGAGUCAUGGGAUAAUCAUGCUCUUAGUAAGCCCAAGUCGAAUAUAGUGUUAGCAUAUCCAAUUAUCCAUUCGCCUCCAUAACUUAACUUUUGACUUUUGAGGGUAAACGUAACAGUCUUUAUUAUGGGCAAAUGUUGUAUGCAUGCCCACUUGGAUCAUGUCUUUCUCCUUUUCCCAUUUUUGGUCAAAUUAUGUAAAAGUUGGAGCAUACAUAUAUAUACACGAACCAAAAAUAAAAGCAUGAAACAUGUUGAUUAUAUUGAGUGGUUUCAAAAUUGCACUGAAAAGUUUUAAAGAUGCGUUUCACAUAGAAGGCAUCCUAGUUUUAUCGUAGAAGUUGCAAUGAGCACACUUAUAAGGUGACAACUAGACUGGUUCAACAGCUACAAUAAUUGAAGAUUUCUGUCGACAAGAGGUACUGAAAAUGACUAGGGAAAGCGACGUAAGUCCAAUCAAAAUAUUAGAUAAGGGUCCGUCUUCUUAAGUUGAAUUUUCUUGUCCUCUGAUCACUAUAUUCGUCUGCAUUCGACGUGUACCGUCAAUUUAUCAUACCACAGGAGCUGCAAUAAUUAUUAGUCCGCACAAGCAGCCAAUACAACGUUAAUGUAAUUAAUUCCUUUUUACUUAUAACUACAUCAACGCCUGAGCCAAAAAGUUGAUAAAAGGCAUAAUCCACAUAUUGUAACCUAAUUAAUAUAAAUAAAUAGUAUGUCAAAGUCCUGAGAAGUGCCACUAAGUAGAUUGGUUAAGCAACAAGCCAACAACAUUAGUGAAAUUUAAACAUAAGGUUUUUCACUGUUUUUUAAGUAAAAGUCCUAACAGAAUCAAUGAGUAUAUUAUUAUAAUUUACUCCGUCCGCCCCUACUGUAUAUAUACAUAAUUUUUGGAUAAUUAGUUGGGUUUAUUAAUCAAUCACUAAUCUUGUGAGGUACGUUGGUCUUAUAUUGCCGCCGACCGACCGACCAGCUUCUCAUGGUGGCUAACCAAUCUCUAUACACAGUUUGGUCCCAGUUCUCUUGUCAUGCAUGCUUGUAUAAAAGAGUCAACUUUUUGGAAUCUUCCCUAUAUCAUUCGAGCUCCACAUAUUAUACAGCGAAAAUUC
Brassica napus (rape) is the source of this 2692-nucleotide long non-coding RNA. RefSeq lists it as uncharacterized. The transcript is spliced from 3 exons. The record is from RefSeq and is a predicted model, not a curated record. NCBI's taxonomy places the organism in Eukaryota, Viridiplantae, Streptophyta, Magnoliopsida, Brassicales, Brassicaceae.